RNAcentral lists this ribosomal RNA (468 nucleotides) under uncultured bacterium. RNAcentral's name for it is "partial 16S ribosomal RNA". It matches the Rfam family "Bacterial small subunit ribosomal RNA", at positions 28 to 507 of the family's 1533-position model. The record is from RNAcentral.
GACGUACGCUGGCGGCGUGCUUAACACAUGCAAGUCGAACGGAAAGGCCCUGCUUUUGUGGGGUGCUCGAGUGGCGAACGGGUGAGUAACACGUGAGUAACCUGCCCUUGACUUUGGGAUAACUUCAGGAAACUGGGGCUAAUACCGGAUAGGAGCUCUUGCUGCAUGGUGGGGGUUGGAAAGUUUCGGCGGUUGGGGAUGGACUCGCGGCUUAUCAGCUUGUUGGUGGGGUAGUGGCUUACCAAGGCUUUGACGGGUAGCCGGCCUGAGAGGGUGACCGGCCACAUUGGGACUGAGAUACGGCCCAGACUCCUACGGGAGGCAGCAGUGGGGAAUAUUGCACAAUGGGCGGAAGCCUGAUGCAGCAACGCCGCGUGCGGGAUGACGGCCUUCGGGUUGUAAACCGCUUUCGCCUGUGACGAAGCGUGAGUGACGGUAAUGGGUAAAGAAGCACCGGCUAACUACGUG